UACGGGGGGGGUAAGCGUUGUUCGGAAUUACUGGGCGUAAAGGGCUCGUAGGCGGCCAACUAAGUCAGACGUGAAAUCCCUCAGCUUAACUGGGGAACUGCGUCUGAUACUGGAUGGCUUGGAUUCGGGAGAGGAAUGCGGAAUUCCAGGUGGUAGCGGUGAAAUGCGCAGAUAUCAGGAGGAACACCGGUGGCGAAGGCGGUUCUCUGGGCAUGUCCUGACGGCUGAGGAGCGAAAGUGUGGGGAGCGAACAGG
RNAcentral lists this ribosomal RNA (255 nucleotides) under uncultured bacterium. RNAcentral's name for it is "partial 16S ribosomal RNA". It matches the Rfam family "Bacterial small subunit ribosomal RNA", at positions 524 to 776 of the family's 1533-position model. The record is from RNAcentral.